This 72-nucleotide transfer RNA is filed under the name Flavobacterium aquaticum. Its description in RNAcentral is "tRNA-Asn". It matches the Rfam family "tRNA". Rfam says of the family: Transfer RNA (tRNA) molecules are approximately 80 nucleotides in length. Their secondary structure includes four short double-helical elements and three loops (D, anti-codon, and T loops). Further hydrogen bonds mediate the characteristic L-shaped molecular structure. tRNAs have two regions of fundamental functional importance: the anti-codon, which is responsible for specific mRNA codon recognition, and the 3' end, to which the tRNAs corresponding amino acid is attached (by aminoacyl-tRNA synthetases). tRNAs cope with the degeneracy of the genetic code in two manners: having more than one tRNA (with a specific anti-codon) for a particular amino acid; and 'wobble' base-pairing, i.e. permitting non-standard base-pairing at the 3rd anti-codon position. The record is from RNAcentral. Lineage: Bacteria; Pseudomonadati; Bacteroidota; Flavobacteriia; Flavobacteriales; Flavobacteriaceae.
GAUUCUGUAGCUCAAGGGUAGAGCAGUGAGCUGUUAACUCAAAGGCUGUAAGUUCGAAUCUUACCAGAAUCG